GGUAAGGUGGUCGAGUGGUUAAGACGUAAGACUCGAAUCCAGCCAAUGGAAGAAAUCUUAUCCCUUUGGGGUCGCGCGUUCAAAUCGCGUCCUUGUCG
Non-coding RNA from Aspergillus heteromorphus CBS 117.55, 98 nucleotides. NCBI's taxonomy places the organism in Eukaryota, Fungi, Ascomycota, Eurotiomycetes, Eurotiales, Aspergillaceae. The record is from the annotation of a RefSeq genome assembly.